This 253-nucleotide ribosomal RNA is filed under the name uncultured bacterium. Its description in RNAcentral is "partial 16S ribosomal RNA". It matches the Rfam family "Bacterial small subunit ribosomal RNA", at positions 524 to 776 of the family's 1533-position model. The record is from RNAcentral.
UACGUAGGGGGCAAGCGUUGUCCGGACUUAUUGGGCGUAAAGAGCGUGUAGGCGGCUUUACAGGUCCGUUGUGAAAACUCGAGGCUCAACCUCGAGACGCCGGUGGAAACCGUAAGGCUAGAGUCCGGAAGAGGAGAGUGGAAUUCCUGGUGUAGCGGUGAAAUGCGCAGAUAUCAGGAGGAACACCCGUGGCGAAAGCGGCUCUCUGGGACGGUACUGACGCUGAGACGCGAAAGCGUGGGGAGCAAACAGG